RNAcentral lists this long non-coding RNA (504 nucleotides) under Canis lupus familiaris (dog). Its description in RNAcentral is "lncRNA (ENSCAFG00040004452.1)". The record is from RNAcentral. Lineage: Eukaryota; Metazoa; Chordata; Mammalia; Carnivora; Canidae.
UUAUAAUACAGUGGAAUAGCUUAACAACUGCUUAUGUGCUUCCCAUGAUAUGUUCUCUAUAUUAUCAAAUGCAGACAUAAUUUAAGAAGACUAGCCUUCCGUUAAAGAUUUCAUCAGGUGAAGACAUCAGUCUUGCCUUCCUGCUCGCUGCAGUGCACUGUAAAUGGUCUCACAGCACAUCCACAGCUAGUUCACUGGACAAAGGUAUGCAGAACAAAACUUCCUUAAAUUCUCAAGAGACCUGUUCCACAAAACUGUGAGCAGAGUUUUGCUAUCUACAGAUUCACUAUCCUCAUCUCUCAUGAACUUUGAGUUCCAACUAGGAUAUUUUGGACCUAAGGAAUAAUGUAUCCUUUUAUUUCUCCAGGAAGCAACCAUCUAAUACAACGGAAGUUACAUAAUCGAGACCUCACUGUGAGCUUUGAAACUAUUUUUAAUCACCAGAACCUACUUCUCAUCAUAAAAGGAUAUCUCCAGCUCCAUAAUUUGAGAGUGAAAUCUUAA